This 301-nucleotide ribosomal RNA is filed under the name uncultured bacterium. RNAcentral describes it as "partial 16S ribosomal RNA". It matches the Rfam family "Bacterial small subunit ribosomal RNA", at positions 509 to 807 of the family's 1533-position model. The record is from RNAcentral.
CAGUAGCCACGGGAAUACAGAGGGUGCGAGCGUUAAUUGGAUUUACUGGGCGUAAAGCGUGCGUAGGCGGCUUCUUAAGUCGGAUGUGAAAUCCCUGAGCUUAACUUAGGAAUUGCAUUCGAUACUGGGAAGCUAGAGUAUGGGAGAGGAUGGUAGAAUUCCAGGUGUAGCGGUGAAAUGCGUAGAGAUCUGGAGGAAUACCGAUGGCGAAGGCAGCCAUCUGGCCUAAUACUGACGCUGAGGUACGAAAGCAUGGGGAGCAAACAGGAUUAGAUACCCCAGUAGUCCCUGUCUCUUAUAC